CCCGGUAUGGGGAGGUAGUUGUCCAUACCGGGGGUAAAAUGGUAAUUUCGCUCAUUAAUUGAAAAGUCCAAAUUGUAAAAACAUGAAUUUUCCCGUUAUUGUUUCUCUCUCUCUCUCCUCUGAGUUCUCUGUCUCUCUCCUCUCCUCUGAGUUCUCUGUCAUCUCUCCUCCUCAAAUCUCCAUUGUCGUUGCGCUAAAUUAUCCUAUAAUUCUCACUAAAUAUUGGGAAAUAAUAAUUUUAGGCGGAAUUUUAAUUUCGUUACAAGUUUAGCUCGAUUGCGAAAGGAUUUUAAUUGCGAAAGGAAUUUUAAUUGCGAAAGGAAUUUUUGAGAGAAGCGGGAUUGCGAAAGGAAAGGAAAUUGGUUGAGAUAGGUGAAGGAUGACGAAGUGAGAAAUGGAAAUAAGAGGAAAAGAAAAAGUUCGAAAAGAGUGGGUAAUAAGGUAAAUGUUGUAUGAUUUGAAAAGUUGUAUAGUAAUUUUUUGAAAUGUAAUCGUAAAAAAUGAAGUGUGGUUGGAAGUUAAUAUAUUUUGGUGAUCAAAGUUCUUUUGGUACAAUGAAGUACUCGUUUUUGUAAUUUGUUAAUGAAAUACUUGAUUUUGUAAAUUGUCAAUGAAGUAUUCGGUUUUGUAAAUUAUCAAUGAAGUAUUCGAUUUGCUAUACUCUAGUACAAUGAAGUACUCAAUUUUGUAAAUUGUCAAUGAUCGGACAAUAUUGAAUAUAUCUUUGCGUAUUUUAUGUUAUGAUAUGAUUCAUCAAACAUUUGAUAUGAUUAAUCAAAUAUGGGACAUGAUUCACAUGCCAACUGAUAUGAAAAUACCACAUAACUAAUAAUUUCUAAUUAAUUGUAUGCAAUAACAUGUUUACUAUAUUCAAAGUUCAUUUUUUAAGUUACAAAA
Beta vulgaris subsp. vulgaris (sugar beet) is the source of this 897-nucleotide long non-coding RNA. RefSeq lists it as uncharacterized. The record is from RefSeq and is a predicted model, not a curated record. The transcript is spliced from 2 exons. Lineage: Eukaryota; Viridiplantae; Streptophyta; Magnoliopsida; Caryophyllales; Amaranthaceae.